CCCGCUGAACUUAAGCAUAUCAAUAAGCGGAGGAAAAGAAACCAACAGGGAUUGCCCUAGUAACGGCGAGUGAAGCGGCAACAGCUCAAAUUUGAAAUCUGACCGCAAGGUCCGAGUUGUAAUUUGUAGAGGAUGCUUUUGGGCAGUCUCCGGUCUAAGUUCCUUGGAACAGGACGUCACAGAGGGUGAGAAUCCCGUACGUGACCGGCAGGCACCCUCCGUAAAGCUCCUUCGACGAGUCGGGUUGUUUGGGAAUGCAGCCCUAAAUUGGAGGUAAAUUUCUUCUAAAGCUAAAUACCGGCCAGAGACCGAUAGCGCACAAGUAGAGUGAUCGAAAGAUGAAAAGCACUUUGGAAGGAGAGUUAAAAAGCACGUGAAAUUGUUGAAAGGGAAGCGCUUGCAAUCAGUCUUGACUUUGGCUGUUCAACGGUCCUUCUGGUCCGUCACUCAGUCAUCGCCAGGCCAGAGUCAGUUUGGGCGGUCGGACAAAGGCCGCGGGAACGUAGCUCCCUCGGGAGUGUUAUAGCCCGCGGUGUAAUACGGCCAGCCCGGACUGAGGUUCGCGCUCUGCUCGGACUCUGGCAAAAUGGUUGUAAGCGGCCCGUCUUGAAACACGG
RNAcentral lists this ribosomal RNA (617 nucleotides) under uncultured fungus. Its description in RNAcentral is "eukaryotic LSU rRNA". It matches the Rfam family "Eukaryotic large subunit ribosomal RNA", at positions 24 to 664 of the family's 3401-position model. Lineage: Eukaryota; Fungi. The record is from RNAcentral.